AGUCAACCAGGCCGGCGUGGGCCGUCCGUCUAAAUCCACUGACCCCAUCCUGACUUCUGACCCCUGGAGCCCAGCAGGACUACGGUGGUGAAGGUGGACCGCGGGAGAGAGAUUGUGAUCACUAAGGACCAGCUGGAGAGCCAAAUCCGA
Carassius auratus (goldfish) is the source of this 150-nucleotide long non-coding RNA. RefSeq lists it as uncharacterized. NCBI's taxonomy places the organism in Eukaryota, Metazoa, Chordata, Actinopteri, Cypriniformes, Cyprinidae. The record is from RefSeq and is a predicted model, not a curated record. The transcript has 3 exons.